This 330-nucleotide ribosomal RNA is filed under the name Oenococcus oeni. Its description in RNAcentral is "bacterial LSU rRNA". It matches the Rfam family "Bacterial large subunit ribosomal RNA", at positions 2595 to 2925 of the family's 2925-position model. Lineage: Bacteria; Bacillati; Bacillota; Bacilli; Lactobacillales; Lactobacillaceae. The record is from RNAcentral.
GGUACGCGAGCUGGGUUCAGAACGUCGUGAGACAGUUCGGUCCCUAUCCGUCGUGGGCGCAGGAAAUUUGAGAGGAUCUGUCCUUAGUACGAGAGGACCGGGAUGGACAUACCUCUGGUGUACCAGUUGUUCUGCCAAGAGCACCGCUGGGUAGCUACGUAUGGAUUAGAUAAUCGCUGAAAGCAUCUAAGUGAGAAACUAACCUCGAGAUGAGAUUUCCCAUUCGUCAGAAGUAAGACCCCUGAGAGACGAUCAGGUAGAUAGGCUAGAAGUGGAAGUGUAGUGAUGCAUGGAGCGGACUAGUACUAAUAGGUCGAGGACUUAACCAAG